AGCCCCCGGUGCACGUUUAGAGAGGUGUGGGUAGGUAAAGCUUCCUUUCUCCAGGUCUCUCAAAAAAGCAAGAGUUCAAUAGGUCAGAGAUGUGUGUUAUUUUCCCACCGGUGCAACACUCAGGAUGUGUCAGAUGCACGUGUCAGGGAAUGACAGCGAAGAGAGAGCGGGCAGAUCAGGCAGACAAAGGCCAGGCUUCAAAGAGGAACGCUUUAGAUCAGCGGAUCAGCGGGCGAUGCUCCCCGCGCUGGAUCUGGCGCCUGUCACGAACGCUUGAGAGAGACGUACAGACGAGACGAGACGCACAGACGGCAGCGCACACAACGCCACAACUUCCUCUGCCGAGUAUCAGCCAGUGUAUUCUGGGCGCACUCGAACAGUUCCCCGCGCCGGGCUUGUCAUUUUGACGAAUGGAUCUCGGUAACUGUCAAUUAAACCGAAUUCCCAUCUGCGGCGCCGGAAUGAAGAGGACACACGCAGCGAAAGGCACACAAACGGCAGCAAACGGCUGUGGAGGCCGUCGAGCUUCUGCCCAGAGACAGGUUGAUCCACACGUUAGCGUCACGUGGGGCCCCCGGCAUCGUCGCCGAGAACCCCGGAAAACGUCAGCGUGAUUAAUUAUAAUUAAUUAGCGAAAUGCUACGUGUUGGCUAAUUCAUCAUAUUUGUAUUAUAAGGAAUUCAUCAUCAAACUGUUUUCACUAAACGCUAAAUCAGCUAAAUGCGUUCUUACACCCCAGAGAUUCCUCCGACAGCUCUCAGUAAACAGUUUAGUUUCAGCCUUUGAGGAAUUUCUGAAUCUGAAUCUGUGUGAUGGUGAUACAGCCAUUCAUUUGAUCUUUGAAGCCCAUUUAUGACUUCAGAAAUGUUUGUUGAAGGACCUCGAAAGCUUCUUUUUGCCAGGUUGCCAUUCAGAGUGUCCUCCUUUUUAAAGUGGACCCUAAUGACAGCAUACAUUACUAAUGGCCUCCGUCCCCUUUAUGCAAAAUCAUCACUACAUGACUGAGACCAAGAGUGGUGGUGAAAGUCAGUGUGCAGGCCUCAUUACCCCAAUUAAUGACAAUUCCUAUUGCAUAAGCAGAACUCAUCUGUGGAUGGAAGUCAAUACCUUUGUCAUGGUUAUGAUAAUGGUCUUAAAUGCUCAUAUAUAGUGAGAAAUCUGCAGCUUGACACUGAAGGACAUCAAUGCUGUAAUAUAGAUAAUUAAAAUGAGUGUGUCGCAGCCAUUGCAAUUAAACAGGGAAAAGUGUGUCAGGGCCUGUGUAUGAUUUGUGUCAUUAAUUUUCAUUACCGAGUGUUUAUUAACCUUUUUAUCUCACGUAGUCGUGAUGAUGGUCCAUUCUGUGGAGAUUACGACCGCGUGUGCUCCAGCGCGUGUUUGUGUUUCCUCCUACGGAACGCUCCCAUCAUGGGAAAUUUCUCGAGCAGCUCGGGGAACUGUAAGCGUUCCUGUUUUUAAUACUCGGCGUCUUCGGCGGAAGCAGAGCAUUAGCAGGCGGUCCAGUGAAGGAAAUGUCAUGGCUCCUAAUUAAAUUUGAAAUAAAGUGAUAUUUCACGUGAUUCAUUCAUUUAUUUCUGCAGCCUCUGAACACGUCAGGUGUUACGCUCCUCAAAUGUCCAGCUGUCGUUGAGGUCCGACUCCAGCGAUUCAACCUCAGCCAUUGGCAUCAGCGCGUGAGGCAUCAUCCCUGUUAAUGACGAGCCACGGAGCGCGGCUGCUGCGGGAUUAGGAGCACGUGUUCCCUUUGCAGCCUCACAUAUUCUGGAUGAUGUCAAGAGGGGAUCUGGAGAAUAAAUACCUUUGCCCACAUACACGGCAACCAGUCACCUGCUCCUAACUUUGAUCAGUAAU
Molecule: long non-coding RNA, 1851 nt
Organism: Betta splendens (Siamese fighting fish)
Lineage: Eukaryota; Metazoa; Chordata; Actinopteri; Anabantiformes; Osphronemidae
Exons: 3
Source: RefSeq, a predicted model, not a curated record